This 71-nucleotide transfer RNA is filed under the name Loxodonta africana (African savanna elephant). It matches the Rfam family "tRNA". From Rfam's summary of the family: Transfer RNA (tRNA) molecules are approximately 80 nucleotides in length. Lineage: Eukaryota; Metazoa; Chordata; Mammalia; Proboscidea; Elephantidae. The record is from Rfam by way of RNAcentral.
GCAGUGGUGGGUCGGUGGUAAAAUUCUUGCCUUCCAUGCAGGGGACCCAGGUUCAAUUCCCAGCCAAUGCA